Molecule: long non-coding RNA, 518 nt
Filed under: Glycine max (soybean)
Lineage: Eukaryota; Viridiplantae; Streptophyta; Magnoliopsida; Fabales; Fabaceae
Description: long non-coding RNA (GMAX_LNC003395)
Source: RNAcentral
CCCGAGUUUCCCCUCCAAGACACAUUGUUAUGCUUCGGUAACUUCCCCGCUGCAACAACACAACCCAAAUAAAACACAAGUUAGUUUAUAUAUACUAUAUUUUGGCUUGAGGAGGGAUCAAGUUAAUUAUAAGAGAGUUACUUUUCAUCCACAUCAUUUAAUUUCUUGAAAUCUAAUGGUUGCUAAUCUUAACUAUUAGAUUUCAAGAAAAUGAACUGUGGAAAUGAGGAGUAACUUUACUUCAUCCCUCCUCUCUUGUUUUUAUGUUUACUCAAUGCGGGAACUUCUUCUUUAUUUGGUAGUUGACAUACAUCGUUGGCCAUUGAAGAACAUGAGGGCCUUGUGGAGGGCGAGGGUGUAGUUGUCGGGAGGGGGGUGUUUGUGGCGGUGGCGGGGGACGGUGUUGACGAUGAGGGCAAUGAGGCCGGCGAGGAAGGCGGCGAAGAGGAGGGUGCCGAGGGUCCACUUGAAGAUCUUGCGGCUGACGAUGAUGCAGCCGAGAUCGACGUACUUCUUCU